This 253-nucleotide ribosomal RNA is filed under the name uncultured bacterium. Its description in RNAcentral is "partial 16S ribosomal RNA". It matches the Rfam family "Bacterial small subunit ribosomal RNA", at positions 524 to 776 of the family's 1533-position model. The record is from RNAcentral.
GACGAACCGUGCGAACGUUAUUCGGAAUCACUGGGCUUAAAGGGCGCGUAGGCGGGUCAUCAAGUCUGGGGUGAAAUCUUUCGGCUUAACCGGAAAAUAGCCUUGGAUACUGGUGGUCUCGAGGGAAGUAGGGGUCUGCGGAACUUCCGGUGGAGCGGUGAAAUGUGUUGAUAUCGGAAGGAACGCCGGUGGCGAAAGCGGCGGACUGGGCUUCUUCUGACGCUGAGGCGCGAAAGCUAGGGGAGCAAACGGG